This 492-nucleotide ribosomal RNA is filed under the name uncultured bacterium. RNAcentral's name for it is "partial 16S ribosomal RNA". It matches the Rfam family "Bacterial small subunit ribosomal RNA", at positions 29 to 507 of the family's 1533-position model. The record is from RNAcentral.
AGUGAACGCUGGCGGUAGGCCUAGCACAUGCAAGUCGAACGGCAGCACAGUAAGAGCUUGCUCUUACGGGUGGCGAGUGGCGGACGGGUGAGGAAUACAUCGGAAUCUACUUUUUCGUGGGGGAUAACGUAGGGAAACUUACGCUAAUACCGCAUACGACCUACGGGUGAAAGCAGGGGAUCUUCGGACCUUGCGCGAUUGAAUGAGCCGAUGUCGGAUUAGCUAGUUGGCGGGGUAAAGGCCCACCAAGGCGACGAUCCGUAGCUGGUCUGAGAGGAUGAUCAGCCACACUGGAACUGAGACACGGUCCAGACUCCUACGGGAGGCAGCAGUGGGGAAUAUUGGACAAAGGGCGCAAGCCUGAUCCAGCCAUACCGCGUGGGUGAAGAAGGCCUUCAGGUUGUAAAGCCCUUUUGUUGGGAAAGAAAAGCAGCAGGUUAAUACCCCGCUGUUCUGACGGUACCCAAAGAAUAAGCACCGGCUAACUUCGUG